Molecule: microRNA, 21 nt
Filed under: Picea abies (Norway spruce)
Lineage: Eukaryota; Viridiplantae; Streptophyta; Pinopsida; Pinales; Pinaceae
Description: pab-miR2111
Source: miRBase by way of RNAcentral
UAAUCUGCAUCCUGGGGUUUG